RNAcentral lists this long non-coding RNA (217 nucleotides) under Nicotiana benthamiana. RNAcentral's name for it is "long non-coding RNA (NBEN_LNC040999)". Lineage: Eukaryota; Viridiplantae; Streptophyta; Magnoliopsida; Solanales; Solanaceae. The record is from RNAcentral.
AUAGUUUAUUUCACCUUAUGCAGCUACGAGGGAUACCUCAGCCAGCGCAGGAAUCCAAUGAACCAUCUGAGUUUGUUAUGAUCCCUAAUCCUAGGUUUAUACCUCUAUCAGAAACUUAGCAGUCCACUCAAACUACUCAGUCCAGUUAGCAUAUAACUCAACAAUACACUCAGACUACUCAAUCCAGGCAGUAGGCAACACAACAAUAUAAUGUGAC